CCUACGGGUGGCAGCAGUGGGGAAUAUUGCACAAUGGGGGAAACCCUGAUGCAGCGACGCCGCGUGAGUGAAGAAGUAAUUCGUUAUGUAAAGCUCUAUCAGCAGGGAAGAAAAUGACGGUACCCAAAGAGGAAGCUCCGGCUAACUACGUGCCAGCAGCCGCGGUAAUACGUAGGGAGCGAGCGUUGUCCGGAAUUACUGGGUGUAAAGGGAGCGUAGGCGGGCGAGAAAGUUGAAUGUUAAAUCUACCGGCUUAACUGGUAGCUGCGUUCAAAACUUCUUGUCUUGAGUGAAGUAGAGGCAGGCGGAAUUCCUAGUGUAGCGGUGAAAUGCGUAGAUAUUAGGAGGAACACCAGUGGCGAAGGCGGCCUGCUGGGCUUUAACUGACGCUGAGGCUCGAAAGCGUGGGGAGCAAACAGGAUUAGAUACCCCAGUAGUC
Molecule: ribosomal RNA, 439 nt
Filed under: uncultured bacterium
Lineage: Bacteria
Description: partial 16S ribosomal RNA
Rfam family: Bacterial small subunit ribosomal RNA
Source: RNAcentral